Molecule: ribosomal RNA, 421 nt
Filed under: uncultured bacterium
Lineage: Bacteria
Description: partial 16S ribosomal RNA
Rfam family: Bacterial small subunit ribosomal RNA
Source: RNAcentral
AAUCUUGGACACUGGGGGGAACCCUGCACCAGCCUUUCCGCGUGUUCGAUGACUGCCAUCGGGUUGUAAAGCACUUUUGGCAGGGAAGAAAUUGCGCGGGCUAAUCUCCUGCGUGGCUGGCGGUACCUGCAGCAUCAGCACUGGCUAACUACGUGCCAGCAGCCGCGUUAAUACGCAGGGUGCAAGCGUUAAUCGGCAUUACCGGGCGUAAAGGGUGCGCAGGCGGCUCGGAAAGAAAGAUGUGAAAUCCCAGGGAUCAACCUUGGAACUGCAUUUUUAACUACCGGACUAGAGUGUGUCAGAGGGAGAGGGAAUUCCGCGUGUAGCAGUGAAAUGCGUAGAUAUGCGGAGGAACGCCGAUGGCGAAGGCAGCCUCCUGGGAUAACACUGACGCUCAGGCACGAAAGCGUGGGGGGCAAAC